GGGGCUGGAGAAUGGGCCGGGACAGGGACAGAGGUGUCCACUGGGAGGAGGGAGCAGGCCGGACGUCUGCCCCGUCCCCGGUGGGUGCGGGGGCGUCAGGUGGGCAAAACCCCAGCGAGGGGAAGCUCCAGGUAAGAGGGCGACCGCGCCCAGGAGGGAAGCCCUUACUGCACCGCCCCGGCCUCGCCCCCGGUCCCCGCGGCUGCGCUCCCUACGCCGCCGGGGAGGCGCCGACGCCGGGACCAGGCUGCGGGUUCCGCCUCGGAGUCCUGGCUGCCGGGCACCCCGGCUGGGCCCGCGGGCGCCCGCUCCCCUCGCCGCUGAGGGCUGUCCAGAGAGAGGGCUUGCUCCCCACUCUAGGUCUGAAUCACCACGAACGCGCCUUAAACUCUAUUCCCACCUUUUUGGUUGCUUUUCCUUACGUCCUCUUUAAAUGAGCCUUUGGCUUCUAACAGUCUCCUCCCGAUAGGCGCAAAAGCAGUUUUUUCAGUUCAUUAGGAUAAUGAAUAGCUUACAUUUUUUGAUUGCUAACUAUGCAGAGUAGUUGGCUUUUUUUUUUUUUUUGAGACGGAGUCUCGUUCUGUCACCCAGGCUGGAGUGCAGUGGCGCGAUCUCAGCUCACUGCAACCUCUGCCUCCCGGGUUCAAGCGAUUCUCCUGCCUCAGCCUCCUGAGUAGCCGAGACUACAGGCGCGUGCCACCACACCUGGCUAAAUUUUUGUAUUUUUAGUAGAGACGGGGUUUCACAGUGUUAGCUAGGAUGGUCUCGAUCUCUUGACCUCGUGAUCCGCCCGCCUCGGCCUCCCAAAGUGCUGGGAAUACAGGCGUGAGCCACCGCGCCUGGCCGAGUAGUUGGCUUUUCAUAUCACAUGAUCACAUUUCAUCCAUAUGACAAACUCUAUGAAUUAUUAUCCCUAGUUUACAGAUGAGGAAAGUAGAGCUCCGAGGAAUUAAACCCUUCAACACUAACUUGUACUGCGUCAUACUAAAUGUGCCUCUCUGACCAUCUCUGCCAAGGUUUCUCAGAAGCGCCUUUUAUUUCUGUUGUUUUUGUUUCUCUGCAACUCUAUCAUGUUAUCUUAGCUCAUGAAUUCCUUGACCAUCUCUGGGAGAUACAGAGUUUAUGGAAAUAUUGAGGGAACAAAAGUGAAUUUUCUGGCCGGGCACGGUGGCUCAUGCCUGUAAGUCCAGCACUUUGGGAGGCCGAGGCAGGCAGGUCACUUGAGGUCAGGAGUUCAAGAUAUACUUCAACUCACACAUACAAAAUGGCCCUUGUGGAACAUAUGUGUAGAGAUUUUAGUCUUAGUAGAGCUUUUCAACUUUUUCAUUCAUUCCCCAGAUAUAUUUAGCACAGUAUCCGAGAUGCUUAGGGAAUAUGUUUGUGAGCAAAACUGAUGGCUCUGCCUCAUGGAGAGGGAAUAGGGAAGAUAGGGAAGUGGGAGUGGGAUAGGGAAGAAAAACAACCAACAGGCCUGGCGCAGUGGCUCAAGUCUGUAAUUCUGGCACUUUGGGAGGCGGGCGGAUCACUUGAGGUCAAAAGUUUGAGACCAGCCUGGCUAACACGGUGAAACCCCAUGUCUACCAAAAAAUGUGAAAAUUAGUCGAGCAUGGUGGUGCACACCUGUAAUCCCAACUACUCGGGAGGCUGAGGCAGAAUUACUUGAACCUGGGAGGUGGAGGUUGCAGUGAGCAGAGAUCGUGCCACUGUACUCCAGCCUGAGUGACAGAGACUCUGUCUCAGAAAAAAAAAAAAAAAAAAAAGAGUAAUUCUCUUGUACUUUAAAUUAAUUUUAAGCAUUGGGAUCCAUAUUUAGAUUUGCUGCCCUCUGCUGGAAUUUUUUGGGGAAAAAUUUCCUGGGUAGACAGUUAAACAUUUAACCUUUAUGUUAACAGAUCUUUAUGAGUCUAAAAAUUACAGUGUAAGGAGAGGCAGAAACUGGACUUACUUUUCAGUUGACAGUUUCCAGAAUUCACCAAAAAUAUGCUAAAUUAUUAUUAUUAUUUUGACAUGGAGUCUCGCUCUGUUGCCCAGGCUGGAGUGCAAUGGCAUGAUGUCAGCUCACUGCAACCUCCACCUCCCAGGUUCAAGCAAUUCUCCUGUCUCAGCCUCCCAAGUAGCUGGGGUUACAGGCAUGUGCCACCAUGCCCAGCUAAUUUUUGUAUUUUUAGUAGAGAUGGGGUUUCACCAUGUUGGUCAGACUGGUUUCAAACUCCUGACCUCAGGUGAUCCACCAGGCUCAGCCUCCCAAAAUGCUGCGAUUACAGGCAUGAGCCAGUUUGCCCAGACUAUGCUAAAUUAUUAAUAGGGUGACAGAAGACACGGUUCAGUGAUCAGCCUUUUUUUUUUUUUUUGCUAUAAAACUUUUUUUUUUUUUUUUUUUUUUUACACAGGGUCUCACUCUGUCACCCUGGAUGGAGUGCAGUGGUGCAGCCUCGACUUUUUGGGCUCAAGCAAUCCUCUUGCCUCAGCCUCCCAAGUACCUGGGACUACAGGUGUGUGCUACCAUGCCUGGCUAAUCUUUUUUUUUUUUUUGUAAAGAUGAAGUCCCACUAUAUUUCCCAGGCUGGUUUUGAACUCCUAGGCUCAAGCAAUCCUCCUGCCUUGGCCUCCCAAAGUGCUGGAAUCACAGGUGUGAGCCACCACGCCUGGCUAAUAUAUAACUUUGGAUGGACAUUUCCCCUCCUCAGGGUCCAGGUUUUGAAUGUGCAAUAUGAGGAGAUUGGACAGGAUCCUCUGUAAGGCCCUUACAGCCCUAACAUUCUGUGAUGUGUGACUCAAAGUUUGUGGGGUUCAUGUGAGCUCUACAAAUAUGAGCAAAGGAGAAAACAUGCUUCCUCAGUCAACAUCUUGACUGAAGAAUCACCAGAACAUUAGAUAAAUAAUUACAGAUGGGGCUUUCGUUGUAAUCUUACAAUGCUUUAGGGAAAUAAGCGUUGCAUACCUACUGCAGCUUUCUUGGGCUUUAAAUGACCAUAUAGCAUGUUCACAAAACAUCACAAAACAUUAGUAAAGAGAAAAGAAUUCAGAUAAAACUGAACCUUAUUUUUUUUCAGCCUAACUCCUGUUUUCUUUGCUGAGAUACUAGUAAUGCUGAAGUAUUUGUUUGUGUUCAGUUACAAAUUACAUGAUACAAUUAAUGAUGUAGGAAUAUUUUGUGCUUAUGUAGAAAUUUAUAACAAAAUGUUUUCUACUGCAAUAGUGCCUUGGUAGAGUUUUUAUAAAUGAGUUUUUACAAAGGUAUUUAUUAUGGAACUGUGGAAAAUAAAGUCCUGAGACUUGAAAUAAUUUACCCCAAACCACAAGAGAUAGGAGUCAGAUUAAAUACCUACAAUGACAGUUGUCUCUUUUAUUCUAGGUUCUUCCUCAGCCUGUUAUUGGCUCUAGUUAACAGGGAAAGGGAAGUCCUAGAAAAGUCAUUUAUUGAAUUUGUAGUCCUAUGGUAAGGUUACUAAUGUAACAAGAAAAAAAAUUUACCCUACUUUUAACAACCCCAAAGGACAGCUAGGACUCUGCAGUUGAACAACCUUCUUUACAAUAAGCAUUUUUUUUUUUUUGAGACGGUGUCUCGCUGUGUUGCCCAGGCUGGAGUGCAAUGGCGCUAUCUUGGCUCAGCGCCACUGAGCCCCAGGCUGGUCUCAAACUCCUGACCUCAGGUGAUCUGCCUGCCUCGGCCUCCCAAAGAGCUGGGAUUACAGGCAUGAGCCCCUGCGCCCAGCCUACAAUAAGCAUUUUUUAAGAUUUAUGCAUUUCAGCCAGGUGAGGUGGCUCAUUUCUGUAAUCUCAACACUUUGGGAGGCCAGGGUGGGCAGAUUGCUUAAGUCCAGGAGUUCGAGACCAGCCUGGGGCAACAUGGCGAAACCCUGUCUCUAUGAAAAUUAAAAAAAAAAUUAGCUGGACAUGGUGGUGUGUGCCUGUCGGCCAGCUACUCGGAAGGCUUUAGUGGGAGGAUCACUUGAGCCUGGGAGGCUGAGGCUGCAGUACGCCAAGAUCAUGCAACUGCACUCCAGCCUGGGGGGAAAACAGACCCUGUUCCACCCAAAAGAAAUAAAAUUAUGUAUUUCAAGGCAGUUUGUUUUUUCUCCUUUUUUAUGCCUUGUAUGUACAGAAUAGCAGGACAUUACUUUCUAGGUAACAUGUUAUUUUAUUUUAUGGGAAAAACAGUCCUUGGAUCCUUUAACUUUUAUUUAUUUCUCUUUUAUCCCACAAAUGUUUGCAGUCUUUAAAAGUUCCUACAAAUUCUUUAGAAGUUCUCUUCCUCCCUGAUUUGAGCUGUGUUUUGGACGACUUCCCCUUUGGCAGGGCUUAGUAUGUGAAAUGCUAGCUCCAUUCUGGGAGAUUACCAUAGAAGAUUGACUUUCAUCUCUGAAAUUACACAUUUUCUUUCCACUGAGAUUUGGCUUGUUCUGAUCUGCUUUAUAUUUCCUAAAAAUACAGUGCUGUGGCAUCACUUCCUCGGUGACUAACUGAAACAACUGAACCGGUUCCUUUGACCUGUAUUCCCACCCUGUAUCCCUACACCCAAGACUUCUUACUCAAGCUCUUGCUAAUCUUUUCUGGAAUUAACUACCAUUCCCUUGCCCCCUUCCCCCAUUCCUUUAGGAUACACAGAUAAAAUUCUCUUGGAGGAAAAGUAAAAGGAACUACUCAUAUUCUUCAAUUGUCUACAGUAUUACUCUAAUAAAAGGACUAUAUCAUAGAGCCUGGAAAACUUUUCUAUUUAUAGUAACAUUUAUUUAAUAAAUUUAUUCAUGUACUGAAAAAGCACUCAGGCAGCCCAAAGUAGAAGGCCCCUGAAGGUUUUCUUUCCCUGCGACUAACUUCUUGCAACCAAGCAAAACAAUGGGGAAUUUGCUUAGGGACUGUGAAUCUCAGGAUAAUCUUUUCCUUUUUACUUUUCUGCAUCUCCACCUGCCUCCUCCUGCUCCCAGGACACACAGCCAGCCAUUAUCAAGUACACUAAGUAAUGUUUUUUCGUACAUAAUUAAAGCAUGGAAUCUGAAUACUAGAGAGAAUAUCAGUGCAUAAAUUAUAGUUAGGAAACUUAGAGGUGAAACCGGUCUCUUCUUACUCAUGUACAGCCAUGUGUCACUUAACAACCAAGAUCUGUUCUAAGAAAUGCAUCCUAGGCAAUUUCUUCAUUGUGGGAACAUCACAGAGUGUACAUAUGCAAACCUAGCUUAUUGCUCCAAAGCUAGAAACUUGUGCAGCCUGUUACUGUACUGAAUACUUAGGCGAUUGUAACUAGAUGGUAUUUGUAUCUAGGUUGGGCGUGGUGGCUCAUGCCUAUAAUCCCAGCAUUUUGGGAGGUUGAGGCAGGCAGAUCACUUGAGGUCAGGCGUUUGAGACCAGCCUGGCCUACAUGGUGAAAACCCAACUCUAUUAAAAAUACAAAAAUUAGCCAGGCAUGGUAGUGUGUGCCAGCUACACAGGAGGCUGAGGCUCAAGAAUCGCUUGAACCCGGGAGGCAGAGGUUGCAGUGAGCCGAGAUCGCACACUGCAUUCCAGCCUGGGCGACACAGUGAGACUCCGUCUCAAAAAAAAAAAAGAAAGUAUUUGUAUCUAAACAUAGAAAACUUAUGGUAAAAAUAUGGUAUAAAAGAUAAAAGAUGGCACACCUAUAUAGGGCACUUACCAUGAAUGGAACUUGCAGGACUGGAAGUUGCUUAGUGAGUCAGUGGUAAGUGAAUGUGAAGGCCUAGGACAUUUAAAAAAAUUUUUCAUUUUUGGCCGGGUGCGGUGGCUCACACCUGUAAUCCCAGCACUUUGGGAGGCCGAGGCAGGUGGAUCACCUGAGGUCAGGAGUUCGAGACUAGCCUGACCAACACGGAGAAACCCCGUCUCUACUAAAAAUACAAAAAAGUUAGCCAGGCGUGGUGGCACAUGCCUGUAAUCCCAGCUACUCGGGAGGCUGAGGCAAGAAAAUUGUUUGAACCUGGAAGGUGGAGGUUGCAGUGAGCCGAGAGUGUGCCAUUGCACUCCAGCCUGGGCACCAAGAGCAAAACUCCGUCUCAAAAAAAAAAAAAUUUCAUUUUUGAAUUAUUUAUUUAUUUACUUAUAGCCGGGCAUGAUAGCUCAUGCCUGUAAUCCUAGCACUUUGGGAGGCCAAGGCGGGCUGAUCACCUGAGGUCAGGGGUUCGAGAGCAGCCUGACCAACAUGGCGAAACCCCAUCUCUACUAAAAACACAAAAAUUAGCCAGGCGUUGUGAUGCACACCUGUAAUCCCAGCUACUUGGGAGGCUGAAGCAGGAGAAUCGCUUGAAAUAGGGAGGUGGAGGUUGCAGUGAGCCCAGAUCACACCAGUUCACUCCAGCCUGGGCAAUAGAGCGAGACUGUCUCAAAAAGAAAAACAAAAAACAAAACAUAAAUAAUUUUUAUAAAAACAAGGUCUCACUCUGUUGCCCAGGCUGCUCACAAACUCCUGGGCUCAAGUGAUGCUCCCUCCUGGGCCUCCCAAAGUGCUGGGAUUACAGGUGGGAGCCACUGCACCCAGCUGACCUAGGACAUUAUUGUAUACUACUGUAGACUUUAUAAACACUGACACUUAGGCUACAUUAAACUUGAAAACAUGUUUCCUUCUUCAAUGAUAAAUUAACUUUAGCUUACUGUAGCUUUAAAAAUUUGUAAGGCCAGGUGCUGUGGCUCAUGCCUGUAAUCCUAGCACUUUGGGAGGCUGAGGUGGGCGGAUCACUUGAGGUCAGGAGUUCACAAUCAGCCUGGCCAACAUGGUGAGACCUCACCUCUACUAAACAUAGAAAAAAUUAGCCGGAUGUGGUGGCACAUACCUGUAAUCUCAGCUACUUGGGAGGCUGAGGCAGGAGGAUCACUGGAACCCGGAAGGCGGAGGCUGCAGUGAGCCAAGAUUGUACCACUGCACUCCAGCCUGGGCAGUAGAGUGAGACUCUGCUCAAAAAAAAAAAAAAAUUGUAAACUUUUUUUUUUUAAACUUUUUGUCUCUUGUAAUAACACAGCUUAAAACACAUUGUACAGCUGUACAACAUUUUUUUUGAAACAGGGUCUCCCUCUGUCACCCAGGCUGGGGUGCGCUGGCAUGAUCACGACUCACUGCAGCCUCAACUUCCUGGGCUCAAGCAAUCCUCUCGCCUUAGCUUCCUGAAUAGCUGAGGUUACCGUGUGCGCCACCAUGCUUGGCUAAUUUUUUGUAUUUUUUGUAGCGAGAGGGUCUUGCUGUUGUCCAGACUGUCUCAAACUCCUGGCCUCAAGUAAUCCUCCCACCUUGGCCUCCCAAAGUGCUGGAAUUACAAGCUUGAGCCACCUCGCCUGGCCUGCAAACGUAAAAUUAAAAAAAAAAUAAAUGCCUCUUCCUGCCCCCAUUCCUCAGCCCCUCCACUGCUAGUACCAGUAUCUGCAUGCUAGGUGUUCAUCCCUGGACUGAGGAUUUUAAAUGCUUUAACUUAUUUAUUCUUCACGAUAAUCCUAUGAGGUAGACACUAUUGUUACCUCCAUUUUACAGGAGAGGAAAUGGAGGCUGCCUGGCUUUGGGAACUGCCCUGAGGUCACACAGCAGCGCAUGUUGCCUUCAGUCCAGCCUUCUUUGGAAUCCCAACCCUUCCCUCAGGAGGUUGGCUUUAAGGCCUUCAUUUCUAAACCACUGUCUUCUUUUUUUUUUUUUUUUUGAGAUGGAGUGGCUUGAUCUGGACUCACUGCAACCUCUGCCCCCUGGGUUCAAGUGAUUCUCUUGCCGCAGACUCCCAAGUAGCUGGGAUUAUAGGCGCCCACCACCAUGCCGAGCUAAUUUUUGUAUUUUUAGUAGAGACGGGGUUUCAUCAUGUUGGCCAGGCUGGUCUCAAACUCCUGAUCUCAGGUAAUCCACCCGCCUCAGCCUCCCAAAGUGUUAGGAUUACAGGCGUGAACCACCGCUCCUGGCCUAAAUUACUGUCUUCUCUCCAAGAACAUUAAUAUAGAACCACUUUUAUAUCUACAACUUUAAUUACAUGUUUAUUUCCCCAAAUCAUCAAAAUCUGCAAUGUCCCCAAACCCCUCAGGAGAUUCAGUGAAGGAAGGAGGCUGGAACAGGGUUCUAACAGAUGAGGGUCUGCACUUGCAGGCCUCUGUUUUUACAACACUUUGCUGUUUUUGAUCCUCUAGUCCAUAUACCUUUUUCCUUACCCUCCAGCAUAUUUUGUUCCAAUGGAGUCAGGAAUAUAAGCCCUUUAGAACCCCUGAAAGUUCUUUGUGUGUUUCUGAUAGAUAAAGAUUUCCUCAUUUUAAAGUACAUAGUUCUCUGUUUUGGUCAGUUUCAGUCCCCACUGACCUUGUAAAUGGGUGAUACGGAACAGCCUGUAACUACAAAAUCGACUUCUUAUCCAGUUCCCUCAGCUGCUCCAUUUAUAUGUACGGAACCCAAGGGACAGAGCUGGGUUCACACACUGUGGAAAAGAAAAAGAAGAAAUAAUUUUUGUUCAAAACAAAGAAACAAAUUUUAAAUUCACGCUGUUCUUUCUCUUUACUCUGCACGAAAUGACUGAUAAUAAACCAAAGUUGUUUCAGAGGAAAAAAAAAUUAUCCUGGAACAGAGAUCACCUGACAAGCUACACAGCCUGUUUCGCUGAUGCUCACUUGCUCAGUUGCAUUGGGGGUUUCAUGGCCUUUGGUCAAGGCCAGGAGGGCCUAACCCCAAGCACACUAGUUUCUUUUAGUGUUGUUCGUUUGUUUGUUUUUGAGACAGGGUUUCACUCUCUCACCCAGGCUGGAGUGCAGUGGCACCACUGUAGCUCACUGCAGCCUCAACGUCCCAGGCUCAGGUGAUCCUCCCACCUGGGCCUCCCAAGUAGCUGGGACUACAGGCACGUGCCACCACACCCACUGGCCUCAGCCUCCCCAAAUGCUGGGAAUACAGAUGUCAGCCACCACGCCCUAGCCUCAAGCACAUUGCUAUGGAAGCCUAAAAAGAUAAAUCUGGCUGGGCGUGGUGGCUCACGCCUGUAAUCCCAGCACUUUGGGAGACUGAGGCCGGCGGAUCACGUGAUGUCAGGAGUUCCAGACCAGCCUGGCCAACAUGGUGAAACCCUGUCUCUAAUAAAAAUAUAAAAAUUAGCCAGGCGUGGUGGCAGACGCCUGUAAUCCCAGCUACUCCAGAGGCUGAGUCACAAGAAUGGAGAAUCGCUUGAACCUGGGAGGUGGAGGUUGCAGUGAGCUGAGAUUGCGCCACUGCACUCCAGCAUGGGUGAUAGAAUGAGACUCAGUCUCGAAAAACAAAAAGAAAAGACGAAUCUACCAGGUAGAGUGGUUCAUGACUGUAAUUCCAGCACUUUGGAAGACCAAGUGGGUGGAUCACAUGAGUCCAGAGGUUUGAGACCAGCCUGAGCAACAUAGCAAGACCUCUAUCAGAGAAAUAUAUAUAUAUAUAUAUAUAUAUAUUUUUUAAAGAUAAGUUCAGCUGCUGGGGAAAGUGGUAGUUGGUUUCUUAGCAAGCAACAGAAUCAUUUUGACCUUUAAAGACAAGGACAAGAUAAAAUACAAAGGGAAAAGCACUGCAGAGUAAGGAAAGUAAAGAUUAGAAUAACAAAAUACUGAAUUAGACUAUUCACUGUAAACUCUCAGAGCCAUUAUAAUUACUAGGAAUUCUGGCUUAUAGUGUGAUUAAAUAGAGUAACCUUGGCAAGGUCCGUAGUUGUAUUUUGGGUGAGUUUCUCCAUCUGCAUUUGGUGUGAGGAUAAGACUUGCUCUAAAACAGCCUGAGGUCAGGUGCAGUGGCUCAAGCCUGUAAUCCCAGCAAUUUGGGAGGCUGAAGUGGUAGGAUCACUUGAGCUCAGGAGUUUGAGACCACCCUGGGCAACACAGAGGGACCCCGUUUCUACUUAAAAAAUAAAAAAAAAAUAUAUGUGUUUUGCCUCUGCACCAAGUUCCUGACACAGAGCUCCUAAAUCCUUGGAACUUCCUGGGUGAUGGGAGCAUCUUUUGUACUAAUGAGGGUCUCUUGGUGUCUUGCUGGAUAGCUUCAGGAUAGGGUCUGGUCACCAGAAAGACAAAGUCAUGACUAGAAGCUUGAAAAUUUAGCCACAUCCCCCAUCCUCCAGGGAGGGGAGAAGGACUAGGGAUUGAGUUAAAAACUGAUCAUGCCUACGUGAUGAAGCCUCCAUAAAAAUCCCUAAACUACCGGGUUCCCAGAGUUCCAAACUGGUAAACAAGAACAUAUCCACUUGCAGGAGGGUUGUGCACCCCAGCUCCACUACACUCAAAGGACAGAAGCUGCUGCACUCAGGAGCCUUCCAUACCUCACCCUAUAUAUAUCCUCAUUUGACAAUUCAUUUCCCGUUUUUUUUUUUUUUUUUUUUUUUUGUUUAGAUGGAGCCUCGCUCUGUUGCCCAGGCUGGAGUGCAGUGGCAUGAUCUCGGUUCAAUGAUGCAGCUUCCACUUCCCAAGUUCAAGUGAUUCUCUGCCUCAGCCUCCUGAGUAGCUGGGAUUACAGGCGUGCACCACGACACUCGGCUAAUUUUUUCUUUUCUCUUCUUGAGAUGGAGUUUCACUCUUGUUGCCCAGGCUAGAGUGCAAUGGCAUGAUCUUGGCUCACCGCAACCUCCAGCUCCCGGGUUCAAGCGAUUCUCCUGCCUCAGCCUCCCGAGUAGCUGGGAUUACAGGCAUGCGCCACCACGCCCGGCUAAUUUGGUAUUUUUAGUAGAGACGGGGUUUCUCCGUGUUGGUCAGGCUGGUCUCGAAAUCCCGACCUCAGGUGAUCCGCCUGCCUCGGCCUCCCAAACUGCUGGGAUUACAGGCGUAAGUCACCGCACCCGGCUCCCCUUCCUGCUUUUAUCCUGUCUUCUAUCUCUGUAGGGCUCCCCGUCCCUGAUUUUAUUAAUACUAGUCCUAUCCACCUGUGCCCCAGUUCUGUAUUCCUGCUCACAGUCUCUGGGAUCUUGCUUCAUAAUUUAACCCUUUUUCUUGACCCUUCACUUUCUUUUGUUUAGACAAAUUGGGACUGAACUCUAGUUUCAGUACCAGUUUGAGUUACUGUUCAAAUAAAAUUAUAGGCCACUUUGGGAGGCAGAAGCAGGAAGAUCGCUUGAGUCCAGGAAUUCAAGACCAGCUUGGACGACAUAGUGAGACCCUGUCCCUACAAAAAAAUUUAAAAUUAGCAUGGUGUGGUGGUACAUGCCUGUAGUCCCAGCUACUGGGGAGGCUGAGGUGGGAGGAUCGCUUGAGCCCAAGAGCUCAAGUUAGCCAUGUUGGUGCCACUGCACUCCAGCCUGGGCAAGAGUGAAACCCUCUCUCAAAAAUAAAAUGAGUAUCCCCUCCCCACGCCCCCUCCCUUCAUGAUUUCAAUUUUAAGCAUCCCACCGUCCAACCACAACCUCCCACUUUUUAGCUCUACGAAACCAGUACCCACAACCCUUCUACCUAACUGGGACUUACAAGACAUUGACACGCCCACGUGUGCACUGUCCUCUAUUCCGCUACAUCCUCAGGUCUCCUUCCAUAGCUUCCACCGUAGCUUACACCUACCAACUCUCAUGCUUUAUUUUCUUGUUUGUGCUCACUUAGCAAAACCGAAUAACCUGAUUAAAUCUAACUCUGCCUACUCCAUGCCUGCAGGCAUGGCUGUGGUAUGCCGAGAGUUCCAUUUAAAGUUCAUGACUACUAACCUCCAGCGGGUUUAUAUUGCUCAGCAGUCAUCCGGAAUUUCCCUUAAUUUUUCACUUUCCCACUCUCCUGAAAGUCUUUUUUUUUUUUUUUUUUUUUAAGAUAGGGUCUGGCUCUGCUACCCAGGCUGGAGUGCAGUGGUGCUGCAAUCUUGGCUCACUGCAACCUCCACCUCCCGGGUUCAAGGAAUUCUCCUGCCUCAGCCUCCCCAAGUGGCUGGGAUUACAGAGGCCUACCACACUUGACUAAUUUUUGUUUUUGUUUCUGUUUUGUGAUGGAGUCUCCCUCUUGUUGCCCCAGGCUGGAGUGCAAUGGCAUGAUCUCGGCUCACCGCAACCUCCGCCUCCCGGGUUCAAGUGAUUCUCCUGCCUCAGCCUCCCGAGUAGCUGGGACUACAGGCGCCCGCCACCAUGCCUGGCUAAUCUUUUGUAUUUUUUCAGUAGAGACGGGGUUUCACCAUGUUAGUGAGGAUGGUCUCGAUCUCCUGACCUCGUGAUCCACCCGCCUCGGCCUCCCAAAGUGCUGGGAUUACAGGUGUGAGCCACCGUGCCCAGCCAAUUUUUGUAUUUUUAGUAGAGAUGGGGUUUCGCCAUGUUGGCCAGGCUCUAAAAGUCUUUUUGUAAUAUCUUCUUCACUGCCCUCAACUUCCCCCAAAGCUUCUCCCUAUUCUCACUCUCAGUUCAUGACUUUUCACCCUUAUUCACUGAGAAAAUAGAAGCAGUCAGAAAAGAAUGUCCACAAGCCCCUACUGCUAUGUCUUCCAUGUUAAAAUAUAAUUUUGAAAAAGUUAAGAUUAUGACUGUCAUACAAAUAUAGAAUAAACAUCAAGUUUUAUUAACUAAAGGAAGCAGUAAAAUGGUCAAGCUGGUGAAAAGAGCACUUGAAGAGCAGGAAUUUACAUAUUUUAUUAGGAAAGACACUUAAAAUUUUAUUAGAAUAAAAUUUAUAGAUAGAUACAAAACUGGUUAAUGCCUUACAGAGCAAAAACAUCCUAACCUGUGCAUCUGGUUUCUGCCACCUAGCAUCAUAUUCUGGAGUUUAAUCUAUAUGGUAGCAUGCAUUCAUCCUUCAUUCCUUCUUACUGCUGAACAGUAUUGCAUUGUAUGGAUGUAGCAUAUUUUAUUUACCCAUUCACCAGCUGACAGACUCAGAAUGUUUGCUGUUGGUUUUUCUUAGAAGCCCCUUAUCUGGUUAAGGAUAUUCCCUUCUAUUCCUAGUUCGUUGAGUUUUUAUCAUGAAUGGGUUGGAUUUUGUCAAAUGUUUUUUCUGCAUCGAUUGAGAUGAUCAUGUAGCUUUUGUCCUUUAUUAAUAUUGUAUAUUACAUUAAUUUAUUUUAGAAUUUAAACCAACCAUGCAUCCUUGGAAUAAAUACAACUUGGUCGUGUUGUAUAAUCUUUUUUUUUUUUUUUUUAAAUACCGAGUCUCGCUCUGUCGCCCAAGCUGGACUGCAGUGGUGCCAUCUCAGCUCACUACAACCUCCACCUCUUGGGCUCAAGCGAUUCUCCUGCCCCAGCCUCCAAAGUAGCUGUGAUUAAAGGUGCCUGCCACCACCCAGCUGAUUUUUACAUUUUUAGUAGAGACAGGGGUUUCACAAUGUUAGCCAGGCUAGUCUUGAACUGCUGACCUCAAGUGACCCAUCCAUCUCGGCCUCCCAAAGUGCUAGGAUUACAAGGUGAGUCACCAGGCCCAGCCUAUAAUCUCUCUUAUAUGUUGCUGAAUUUGGUUUGCAGACGACUUUUGUAUCAAUAUUUAUAAGGAUAUCGAUAUAUACUUUUCUUACAGUGUCUUUACCUGGUUUUAGUAUCAGAGUAAUAUUGAAUUUAUAGAAUAAAUUGGGAAGUGUUCCUCCUCUAAUUUCUGAAAUAAUUUGUUCAAUAUUUGUAUUAUUGGUUCUUUAAAUAUUUAAUGGAAUUUACCAAUGAAGCCAUCUGGGCUGGGCUCUUGUGGGAAGAUUGUUAGAUUGUUUUUGUUUGUUCUUGAGACAGGGUCUCACUCUGUUGCCCCAGGCUGGAGUGCAGUGGUACAAUCUCAGCUCACUGACACCUCCACCUCCCUGGUUCAAGUUAUUGUCCCACCUCAGCCUCCCAAGUAGCUGGGUCUAUAGGUAUGUGCCACCCCACCUGGGUAAUUUUUGUACAUUUUGGUUGAGACGGGUUUCACCAUAAUGCCCAGGCUGGUCUUGAACUCCCGACCUCAAGUGAUGUACCUGCCUUGGCCUCCCAAAGUGCUGGGAUUACAGGUGUGAGCCACCAUGCCCAGCUGGAAGAUUGUUUUUUAAAUUCAUUUUUUUUAACCACUUGAUAUAGGUAUGUUUGGAUAUCCUAUUUCUUCUUGAGUUGGUCUUGAUACUUUAUGCCUUUCUAGGAAUUUUUCAUUUCAUUAAAUUGCCUAAUGUACUGGUAUAAAGUUGUUCACAUUAUACUUUUUGUGUGUGUAUGGUAGAGAUGGGGUUUCACUGUUACCCAGGCUGUUCUGGAACUCCUGGGCUCAAGUAAUCUGCCCACCUCAGCCUCCCAAAGUGUUGGGAUCAUAGUCAUGAGCCACCAUGCCUGGCCCCAUAAUAUACUUUUAUAAUUUUAAUUUUUGUAGGGCAGAGAUUGAUGUCCUCUCUUUCAUUCUAGAUACUGGUAAUUUGUGUCUUCUCUUUUUUUUUUUUUUUUUUGAGACGGAGUCUCACUCUGUCACCCAGGCUAGAGUGCAGUGGCGCGAUCUCGGCUCACUGCAAGCUCCGCCUCCCAGGUUCACGCUAUUCUCCUGACUCAGCCUCCCAAGUAGCUGGGACUACAGGUGCCCGCCACCAUGCCCGACUAAUUUUUUGUAUUUUUAGUAGAGACGGGGUUUCAUCGUGUUAGCCAGGAUGGUCUCGAUUUCCUGACCUCGUGAUCCGCCUGCCUGGGCCUCCCAAAGUGCUGGGAUUACAGGCGCAAGCCACCACGCCCAGCCAGUGUCUUCUCUUUUUUAAAACAAAUUUAUUAUUAUUAUUUUUUGAGAUGGAGUCUCACUCUGUCGCCCAGGUUGCAGUGCAGUGGCACGAUCUCAGCUCACUGCAACCUUCCACCUCCCAGGUUCAAGCGAUUCUCCUGCCUCAGCCUCCUGAGUAACUGGGAUUACAGGCACCCGCCACCACACCUGGCUAAUUUUUGUAUUUUUAGUAGAGAUGGGGUUUCACCACGUUGGGCCAGGCUGGUCUCAAACUCCUGACCUCAAGUGAUCCACCUGCCUCGGCCUCCCAAAGUGUUGGAAUUACAGGCAUAAGCCACCAUGUCUGGCCUUUUUAAAAAUUUUUUUCGCUUGGCUAAUCUUAUUAUUAUUAUUAUUAUUGGAGACAAUGUUUUGCUCUAUUGCCUGCUUGAGUGCAGUGGCGUGACCUCAGCUCACUGCAGCCUCAACCUCUCAGGCUCAAGCAAUUCUAUCUCAUGAGCAUCCCCACCCGAGUAACUGGGACUACAGGCACGUGCCACCAUGACUGGCUAAUUUUUGUAUUUAUUUGGAAGAGACGGUGUUCACCAUGUUACCUAGGCUGGUCUCCAACUCCUGGGCUCAAGUGAUCCACCUGCCUCUGCUUCCCAAAGUGCUAGGAUUAUAGGUGUGAGCCACCACGACCAGUCAUUGUUAUUUUUUCAAAGAAACAACUUUUUGUUCGUUGAUUUUCUAUAUUGCUGUUUUCUGUUUCAUUGAUUUCUGCUCUAAUCUUUAUUUCCUCUUUUUUGCUUACCUUGGGUUUAGUUUGAUCUUUUGUUUAUUUAUUUAUUUAUUUAGAGACGGAGUUUCACUCUUGUCGACCAGGCUGGAGUGCAGUGGCGCCAUCUCAGCUCACCACAACCUCCGCCUCCCGGGUUCAAGUGAUUCUCCUGCCUCCACCUCCCGAGUACCUGGGAUUACAGGCAUGCGCCACCACACCCGGCUAAUUUUGUAUUUUUAGUGGAGACGGGGUUUGUCUAUGUUGGUCAGGCUGGUCUCAAACUCCCGACCUCAGGGGAUCAGCCCGACUCGGCCUCCCAAAGUGCUGGGAUUACAGGCAUGAGCCACCGCGCCCGGCCUUCUUUUUAUUUUCUUAAGAUAGAAGCUUAAUUUGAUUUGAGACCUUUCUUUUCUUCUUAUAUAUAUGUUUUCCUCUAAGCACUUCUAGCUGCUUCCCAUAAAUUUUGAUAUGUUGUAUUUUCAUUUUUACUCAGUUCAAAAUAUUUUAAGAUUUCCCUUGUGAAGUGGCUUUUGACCUAUGUGCUAUUUAGAAGUCUGUUUUAUUUCCAAAUACAUAGGGAUUUCCCAGAUCUCUUUCUGUUGUUGAUUUCUAAC
This 15894-nucleotide long non-coding RNA is filed under the name Homo sapiens (human). RNAcentral's name for it is "non-protein coding lnc-TUBA1A-1:4". The stretch from base 5727 to 5843 matches the Rfam family "Metazoan signal recognition particle RNA". The record is from RNAcentral. Lineage: Eukaryota; Metazoa; Chordata; Mammalia; Primates; Hominidae.